Molecule: long non-coding RNA, 1179 nt
Filed under: Cavia porcellus (domestic guinea pig)
Lineage: Eukaryota; Metazoa; Chordata; Mammalia; Rodentia; Caviidae
Description: lncRNA (ENSCPOG00000032786.1)
Source: RNAcentral
CGGGUGGUACUUGGGAGGGGCUGGAGAGGCACAUUUCCUGGGGAGGCAAAAGCACUCACAGAAGCCAGACAGCACGGUGCAGAGGCAGAAGCAAGGACGCUCCCGAGAUUCUGGCCUGAACAGUGCACGACACACCAACAGCAGGUGAAGAGGACCCACCAGUUCCCUCAACGGCCUUCACUGAAACUCCACCGCUCCAGACACUGUUCUCUGUGCUGGGACACGGGCAGCACAGAGACCCUGCCCUCACGGAGGUCCACUCUCUCGGGAGACAAGACAGUUACCCACACAGCAAGGAGGUGCGGCUGCGGGGUAAGUGCUUGUAAGACGGGAAGCUUGCUGCGGGGAAGGAAUCACGUCAGGGAUGGUCCCAGGGAGGCCUCUAGGACCGAGCUGCACAGGGAUGCUGUCCUCCAGCCUAGGUCGGGCUGAGGUCACGUUAAUCUAUUUCAUUUUUAGUAACACGGAGUUCAAAUUGGCCUGGAGCUCUGAGGACAAUGGAUGCAGUGGCAGGACUGUCUUGAAGCCAGGCACGGAGCUGGCAGGAUGGUAAAGCUCUCCCCGUGAGCUCUGCCAGCUUCCUCCCAACGUGUCAGCCCUCAUGGCUCCAGCUCUCUGGAUCCCUCUUCUUGCUGCGCCCAUGAACAAGUGUAUGGCGAGAGCCUGAAAUAAACAGGUGUAAAAUGGGUCAAGGCCGUCGCUUCUAUUUCUGUUUUAAACUGAAGAAAAUUUGCCCCAUUUCGAGAAGCAAAAAAGAGAAGAAAUCUGAAUAAAGGCAAACUACAGUAUGGAUUAAACACGCACGUACAUCCGUGUAUGUACAUGCACGCACCUCCCCCGCCACAGAUCCUAUACACACACCCACACACCUCUUUUAUUUCCCUGGAACUCAAGACUGGGUCUUGCACAAAUGUCUUUUUGCAAUUAUUACAGCAGAACUUUUACUGGCUUACAGCUGGGUUUGUUUUGUCUUUUGCAGUACUGGGACUGAAACCAGGGCCUUCAUACUGAGGUAUGAAGCCCUUAUUUAGAGACUGGAUCACAUUAAACUGCCCAGGUGGGCUCAAAUUUGUGCGCCUUGUAGAACACUGGGGGUAUAGGUGUGCACCACCAUGCUCAGCUGGAGGUUGUAUCGUUAAGUGGCCACAAAACUUUUUUUAAGAGAUCAAAUUAAAAAUU